GACGUAGGGGGCCAGCGUUGUUCGGAAUUACUGGGUGUAAAGGGUUCGUAGGCGGUGUGGCAAGUCGGGAGUGAAAUCUCUGGGCUCAACUCAGAGACUGCUUCCGAAACUGCUGUGCUGGAGUGUGGGAGAGGCGCGUGGAAUUGCAGGUGUAGCGGUGAAAUGCGUAGAUAUCGUAAGGAAGACCAGUGGCGAAGGCGAGUCUCUGGACAGUUACUGACACUGAGGCACGAAGGCCAGGGGAGCAAACGGG
RNAcentral lists this ribosomal RNA (253 nucleotides) under uncultured bacterium. RNAcentral's name for it is "partial 16S ribosomal RNA". It matches the Rfam family "Bacterial small subunit ribosomal RNA", at positions 524 to 776 of the family's 1533-position model. The record is from RNAcentral.